UCAGUGGAGUUUUUAAACUCCAUAAACAAGAUCAAAAGGUUGACA
Non-coding RNA from Gossypium raimondii (Peruvian cotton), 45 nucleotides. The record is from Rfam. NCBI's taxonomy places the organism in Eukaryota, Viridiplantae, Streptophyta, Magnoliopsida, Malvales, Malvaceae.